This 412-nucleotide ribosomal RNA is filed under the name uncultured bacterium. Its description in RNAcentral is "bacterial SSU rRNA". It matches the Rfam family "Bacterial small subunit ribosomal RNA", at positions 29 to 484 of the family's 1533-position model. The record is from RNAcentral.
AACGAACGCUGGCGGCAGGCCUAACACAUGCAAGUCGAGCGAACCUUCGGGUUAGCGGCGGACGGGUUAGUAACGCGUGGGAAUAUGCCCAAAGGUACGGAAUAGCCUCGGGAAACUGAGAGGUAAUACCGUAUGUGCCCUUCGGGGGAAAGAUUUAUCGCCUUUGGAUUAGCCCGCGUUGGAUUAGGUAGUUGGUGGGGUAAUGGCCUACCAAGCCGACGAUCCAUAGCUGGUUUGAGAGGAUGAUCAGCAACACUGGGACUGAGACACGGCCCAGACUCCUACGGGAGGCAGCAGUGGGGAAUCUUAGACAAUGGGGGAAACCCUGAUCUAGCCAUGCCGCGUGGACGAUGAAGGCCCUUAGGGUUGUAAAGGUCCUUUACAGCUGGGAAGAUAAUGACGGUACCAGCAG